GUUGACCUCAGAUUAGAUAGGGAUACCCGCUGAACUUAAGCAU
Molecule: ribosomal RNA, 43 nt
Filed under: Pseudovirgaria grisea
Lineage: Eukaryota; Fungi; Ascomycota; Dothideomycetes; Acrospermales; Acrospermaceae
Description: partial 28S ribosomal RNA
Source: RNAcentral